Molecule: long non-coding RNA, 904 nt
Organism: Oncorhynchus keta (chum salmon)
Lineage: Eukaryota; Metazoa; Chordata; Actinopteri; Salmoniformes; Salmonidae
Exons: 3
Source: RefSeq, a predicted model, not a curated record
UUAUAGGACAAACCAAACCACUCGACGAUAUUGGUUAUGCUACGUAUUCCAAACUGAAUCAGACGUGCGUGUGUCCUGUUCUGGACUAUUCAGUAGGAGUGUGGGGUGAUAAGAGGAACAUGUCCACAACAGAGCAGCAUGUUACUGUUUAGGUGUCCAUAGGUUUGCCUGUUCUGGACUGUUCAGCAGGAGUGUGGGGUGAUAAGAGGAACAUGUCCACAACAGAGCAGCAUGUUACUGUUUAGGUGUCCGUAGGUUUGCCUGUUCUGGACUGUUCAGUAGGAGUGUGGGGUGAUAAGAGGAACAUGUCCACAACAGAGCAGGACGUUACUGUUUAGGUGUCCAUAGGUUUGCACCAACACCUAUUACUUGGAAUAACUGGGGCAGCAGGUAGCCUAGUGGUUAGAGAGGGACGGCAGGGUAGCCUAGUGGUUAGAGCGUUGGACUAGUAACCGGAAGGUUGCGAGUUCAAACCCCCGAGCUGACAAGGUACAAAUCUGUCGUUCUGCCCCUGAACAGGCAGUUAACCCACUGUUCCCAGGCCAUAAUUGAAAAUAAGAAUGUGUUCUUAACUGACUUGCCUGGUUAAAUAAAGGUAAAAUAAAAAUAAAAAAAUUAAAAACCAUGGACGGGGUGUGAGAGAUGGAAGGCGUGUGAGACAGGUGUGACUUGCACUGUCAACUGUGGAACCUUAUAUAGACAGGUGUGUGCCUUUCCAAAUCAUGUCCAAUCAAUUGAGUUUACCACAGGUGGACUCCAGUCAAGUUGUAGAAGCAUCUCAAGGAUGAUCAAUGGAAUCAGGAUGCAGCUGAGCUCAAUUUAGAGUCUCAUAGCAAAGGGUCUGAAUACUGAAGUAAAUAAGCUAUUUCUGCUUUUUGUUUUUUGCAAAUUUACAAGAAUUUCU